Molecule: ribosomal RNA, 916 nt
Filed under: uncultured marine archaeon
Lineage: Archaea
Description: bacterial SSU rRNA
Rfam family: Archaeal small subunit ribosomal RNA
Source: RNAcentral
UUCCGGUUGAUCCUGCCGGAGGCUACCGCUAUUGGAGUUCGAUUAAGCCAUGCGAGUCGCGAGUCUUCAAGGACUCGGCGUACCGCUCAGUAACACGUGGGUAACCUGCCCUAUGCUGGGGGAUAACCUCGGGAAACUGAGAAUAAUACCCCAUAGUUCACCACGCCUGGAACGGUGGGUGGAUGAAAGCUCCGGCGGCAUAGGAUGGGCCUGCGGCGUAUCAGGUUGUAGGGGGUGUAAUGUACCCUCUAGCCAUCUACGCGUACGGGUGUUGGGAGACAUCGCCCGGAGAUGGAUUCUGAGACACGAAUCCAGACCCUACGGGGUGCAGCAGGCGCGAAAACUUGGCAAUGCGAGCAAUCGUGACCAGGGAACUCCAAGUGCAUCGGGUAAGACCGAUGCUUUUCUUGACUCUUCAAAGGUCUUGGAAUAAGGGGUGGGUAAGGACGGUGCCAGCCGCCGCGGUAAUACCGGCGCCUCAAGUGGUAGUCGCUUUUAUUGGGCCUAAAACGUCCGUAGCCGGUUUGGUACAUUCGUGGGUAAAUCAAGGCGCUCAACGUCUUGAAUUCUGCGAGCACGGCCAGACUUGGGACCGGGUGAGGUGUGGGGUACUCUCAGGGUAGGGGUAAAAUCCUGUCAUCCUGAGAGGACCACCUGUUGCGAAGGCGCCACACUAGAACGGAUCCGACGGUCAGGGACGAAGCCUAGGGGCACGAACCGGAUUAGAUACCCGGGUAGUCCUAGGUGUAAACGCUGUGGACUUGAUGUUGGGAGUGCUCCGAGCACCCUCAGUGUCGAAGCGAAGGUGAUAAGUCCACUGCCUGGGGAGUACGGUCGCAAGGCUGAAACUUAAAGGAAUUGGCGGGGGAGCACUGCAACCUGAGGAUUGUGCGGUUUAAUUGGAUUCAACGCCGGA